Molecule: ribosomal RNA, 467 nt
Filed under: uncultured bacterium
Lineage: Bacteria
Description: partial 16S ribosomal RNA
Rfam family: Bacterial small subunit ribosomal RNA
Source: RNAcentral
GAUGAACGCUGGCGGCGCGCCUAACACAUGCAAGUCGAACGAUUAAAGCACCUUCGGGUGUGUAUAAAGUGGCGAACGGCUGAGUAACACGUGGGCAACCUGCCCCUCUCAUUGGGAUAGCCACGGGAAACCAUGGAUAAUACCGAAUACUUCGGGACUUCCGCAUGGAAGACUCGAGAAAGCUCCGGCGGAGAGGGAUGGGCCCGCGGCCUGUUAGCUUGUUGGUGGGGUAAUGGCCUACCAAGGCAAUGAUGGGUAGCUGGGUUGAGAGACCGACCAGCCAGAUUGGGACUGAGACACGGCCCAGACUCCUACGGGAGGCAGCAGUGGGGAAUCUUGCACAAUGGGCGAAAGCCUGAUGCAGCGACGCCGCGUGCGGGAUGAAGGCCUUCGGGUUGUAAACCGCUUUCAGCAGGGACGAGGCGAAAGUGACGGUACCUGCAGAAGAAGCCCCGGCUAACUACGUG